GUGCCAGCCGCCGCGGUAAUACCGGCAGCCCGAGUGAUGGCCGAUAUUAUUGGGCCUAAAGCGUCCGUAGCUGGCCGAACAAGUCCGUCGGGAAAUCCACGUGCUUAACGCGUGGGCGACCGGCGGAAACUGUUCAGCUUGGGGCCGGAGGACCCGAGGGGUACGUCCGGGGUAGGAGUGAAAUCCUGUAAUCCUAGACGGACCGCCGGUGGCGAAAGCGCCUCGGGAAGACGGACCCGACAGUGAGGGACGAAAGCUCGGGUCUCAAACCGGAUUAGAUACCCCAGUAGUCC
This 293-nucleotide ribosomal RNA is filed under the name uncultured bacterium. RNAcentral describes it as "partial 16S ribosomal RNA". It matches the Rfam family "Archaeal small subunit ribosomal RNA", at positions 455 to 747 of the family's 1478-position model. The record is from RNAcentral.